CAUGCCAUAACAGUAUCUCCACACUCCUUGAUUAAGAGGAUGACUAACUCAUAUAGUACGCAAUGACCUAUACUCGAUAAUGCUAUCAUCCUAGUAAUAGCAUAUUAUUGAUCAUGAAUAUUUUCAAAAACUUAAUGACAAAUCUUUCUUUGUCAAUUAAUUAUAGUCCUAAAGACUUCAUUACAAUAUAGGAGUUCAAAGAUGGAUAAUUAUAAUAAAAAUAUCAAAUAAUUUUUAUUAA
This 241-nucleotide long non-coding RNA is filed under the name Elaeis guineensis (African oil palm). Its description in RNAcentral is "long non-coding RNA (EGUI_LNC062184)". Lineage: Eukaryota; Viridiplantae; Streptophyta; Magnoliopsida; Arecales; Arecaceae. The record is from RNAcentral.